RNAcentral lists this ribosomal RNA (253 nucleotides) under uncultured bacterium. Its description in RNAcentral is "partial 16S ribosomal RNA". It matches the Rfam family "Bacterial small subunit ribosomal RNA", at positions 524 to 776 of the family's 1533-position model. The record is from RNAcentral.
UACGUAGGGUGCGAGCGUUAAUCGGAAUUACUGGGCGUAAAGCGUGCGCAGGCGGUUUUGUAAGUCAGAUGUGAAAUCCCCGGGCUCAACCUGGGAACUGCGUUUGAAACUACAAGGCUAGAGUGUGGCAGAGGGGGGUGGAAUUCCACGUGUAGCAGUGAAAUGCGUAGAUAUCUGGAGGAACACCGGUGGCGAAGGCGGCAUCCUGGGCCGGUAUUGACGCUGAGGAGCGAAAGCCAGGGGAGCAAACGGG